RNAcentral lists this ribosomal RNA (494 nucleotides) under uncultured bacterium. Its description in RNAcentral is "partial 16S ribosomal RNA". It matches the Rfam family "Bacterial small subunit ribosomal RNA", at positions 30 to 523 of the family's 1533-position model. The record is from RNAcentral.
AUUGAACGCUGGCGGAAUGCUUUACACAUGCAAGUCGAACGGUAGAGGGGGCAACCCCUCGAGAGUGGCGAACGGGUGAGUAAUAUAUCGGAACGUGCCCAGUCGUGGGGGAUAACGUAGCGAAAGUUACGCUAAUACCGCAUACGAUCUAAGGAUGAAAGCGGGGGAUCGCAAGACCUCGCGCGAUUGGAGCGGCCGAUAUCAGAUUAGGUAGUUGGUGGGGUAAAGGCUCACCAAGCCAACGAUCUGUAGCUGGUCUGAGGACGACCAGCCACACUGGAACUGAGACACGGUCCAGACUCCUACGGGAGGCAGCAGUGGGGAAUUUUGGACAAUGGACGCAAGUCUGAUCCAGCCAUUCCGCGUGCAGGAUGAAGGUCCUCGGGUUGUAAACUGCUUUUGUACGGAACGAAAAGGUCUCUCUUAAUACGGGGGACUCAUGACGGUAUCGUAAGAAUAAGCACCGGCUAACUACGUGCCAGCAGCCGCGGUAA